Molecule: ribosomal RNA, 424 nt
Filed under: uncultured bacterium
Lineage: Bacteria
Description: bacterial SSU rRNA
Rfam family: Bacterial small subunit ribosomal RNA
Source: RNAcentral
GGGGAAUUUUGGACAAUGGGCGCAAGCCUGAUCCAGCAAUGCCGCGUGAGUGAAGAAGGCCUUCGGGUUGUAAACCGCUUUUGUCAGGGAAGAAACGCGCUGGGCUAAUACCCCGGCGUAAUGACGGUACCUGAAGAAUAAGCACCGGCUAACUACGUGCCAGCAGCCGCGGUAAUACGGAGGGGGCUAGCGUUGUUCGGAAUUACUGGGCGUAAAGCGUACGUAGGCGGCUUUGUAAGUUAGAGGUGAAAGCCCAGAGCUCAACUCUGGAAUUGCCUUUAAGACUGCAUCGCUUGAAUCGUGGAGAGGUUAGUGGAAUUCCGAGUGUAGAGGUGAAAUUCGUAGAUAUUCGGAAGAACACCAGUGGCGAAGGCGACUAACUGGACACGUAUUGACGCUGAGGUACGAAAGCGUGGGGAGCAAA